This is a long non-coding RNA of Dromaius novaehollandiae (emu), 924 nucleotides long. RefSeq lists it as uncharacterized. The transcript has 3 exons. The record is from RefSeq and is a predicted model, not a curated record. Lineage: Eukaryota; Metazoa; Chordata; Aves; Casuariiformes; Dromaiidae.
AAAUAUUCACUAAUUUCUAUGCUCCUGUCAUCCAGGAGGGGCUGUUGUGCAUUCCCCUGCAGGAGGAUUUGCUUGCACAGUUGACCAUCCAAUCUACUAUUCACUACGAUCAAGGAAUACUGGACAAGCAAAGUGCUCAUUUGAUACAGUGCAGUUUAAGGAGCAACUGAACAGUCAAGCCACCAGAACUUCCUAAUCUGUGUAUCCUGAAACGAGUCGCUGUGCCUGCUCCAGAUGUCUGCACUGAUGCCCUGUUUCUCCCAGGUGUCAGUAGAACAGAACUGAAAUGCUUUCUCAGUUUUUCAAGACAGAGGACAAUAUUAUGUUCUUGGUGACAUUGAAUACUAUUCAAAGAACAGAAGAUACUUGAUUGUAUGAAGUCCUGAGACCUUGACAUAGCAAGAUCCCAUUAUCAGUGAGGGUGCCUCUGCUAUGGACCAUGACCCUAUCUACAAACACAGAACAAGAAGUGGUUCCUACUCCAGUGAUUUUAAAACUGAAGCAUAAGACAAGAUAUGAAAGAAAGACAAAGGAAUGCAAAGAAACAAUAAGAAACAAUAGAGGCACCAGCUGUUUGACAACUGUCAGGCUAAGCAGCUAAGUUGUCACCAUGGCCCAGCUGGCAUUAGGAAUCAAACUCCUUGCAGGGAGAAGAAGAUUUGUUUCAUCUAAUGCUUCUAUACUGAGUGACUUUUCCACUGGCAAAAGCAAGUGGGAAACUGGAGUCUUCAUGUGGCCAUGCCGCCAAUGCUGGAUGGGACAAAGAUUGUACACUGAGCUCUUAAUGUUAAAGACAGAGAAGUUUUCUCUAUCUGUGUUGAUUUUGAAGAAGAGAUGUAUUAUAGCAAGAAGAGUCAGUCUGUGUCCUUGAGAGGCUUGCUAUGAAAGAGAAUGCACCUCACUUUUGUAAAAGCAGAUAUUUCC